RNAcentral lists this ribosomal RNA (819 nucleotides) under uncultured Actinomycetes bacterium. RNAcentral describes it as "bacterial SSU rRNA". It matches the Rfam family "Bacterial small subunit ribosomal RNA", at positions 335 to 1167 of the family's 1533-position model. Lineage: Bacteria; Bacillati; Actinomycetota; Actinomycetes. The record is from RNAcentral.
ACUCCUACGGGAGGCAGCAGUGGGGAAUAUUGCACAAUGGGCGCAAGCCUGAUGCAGCAACGCCGCGUGAGGGACGACGGCCUUCGGGUUGUAAACCUCUUUUAGUAGGGAAGAAGCGAAAGUGACGGUACCUGCAGAAAAAGCACCGGCUAACUACGUGCCAGCAGCCGCGGUAAUACGUAGGGUGCAAGCGUUAUCCGGAAUUAUUGGGCGUAAAGAGCUCGUAGGCGGUUUGUCGCGUCUGCUGUGAAAACUGGAGGCUCAACCUCCAGCCUGCAGUGGGUACGGGCAGACUAGAGUGCGGUAGGGGAGAUUGGAAUUCCUGGUGUAGCGGUGGAAUGCGCAGAUAUCAGGAGGAACACCGAUGGCGAAGGCAGAUCUCUGGGCCGUAACUGACGCUGAGGAGCGAAAGCAUGGGGAGCGAACAGGAUUAGAUACCCUGGUAGUCCAUGCCGUAAACGUUGGGAACUAGAUGUAGGGACCAUUCCACGGUUUCUGUGUCGCAGCUAACGCAUUAAGUUCCCCGCCUGGGGAGUACGGCCGCAAGGCUAAAACUCAAAGGAAUUGACGGGGGCCCGCACAAGCGGCGGAGCAUGCGGAUUAAUUCGAUGCAACGCGAAGAACCUUACCAAGGCUUGACAUAUACCGGAAAAGGCUAGAAAUAGUCUCCCCGCAAGGUCGGUAUACAGGUGGUGCAUGGUUGUCGUCAGCUCGUGUCGUGAGAUGUUGGGUUAAGUCCCGCAACGAGCGCAACCCUCGUUCUAUGUUGCCAGCACGUAAUGGUGGGAACUCAUAGGAGACUGCCGGGGUCAACUCGGA